This 754-nucleotide long non-coding RNA is filed under the name Medicago truncatula (barrel medic). RNAcentral's name for it is "lncRNA gene16756". Lineage: Eukaryota; Viridiplantae; Streptophyta; Magnoliopsida; Fabales; Fabaceae. The record is from RNAcentral.
CGUCACCGACGUCGGAAACCGCUUAACAUUAAUCUCUUUUCUCUCAUACACCACUCCUUCUGCCCAACUAUCCAUACUUUUCAUUAACCAUAAUUUAUUCAUCGGCGACACCGCCACUGCGGCAUUGUCGUCGCGAACGACAAUAUCGUCGGCGCCGAUGAGAUUGUCGUUUAAUGAUACAGUCCUUGCAGUUCCGUCCAUUGCGUCUACCUUGAAAACUUUACCGGUGCUUGAUUGAACUACAAGAAGGUAGCCUUUGGAAACGUAGGUGAUUCCGUUCAGACCUAGGAGAUUUUCGCCGGUAGUAACUUGAUUGUUCUCCGGUGAGGUGAAUAGUGGAGAUUUUGAGAAGAUUGAUGCGGUUCCGUCGGUGGUGAUUUUCCAGAUGAAGUUUCCGGCGGAGUUUGAUACGUAUGCGGUGCCGGUGUGAUCGACGGCGACAUCGUUGGUGGCGGAGAGGUUGGGGAGGGUGAAUUCAUCGUCGGAGUCAGGGAGGAGAGAGAUAAAUAUGCGGCGGCGAGAGCGGAGGUCGUAGGCGGCGAGAGCAUUGAACGGAGGGAGUGGAGGAGGGGAGUGAACGAUGGCGAGGAGGCGGUUACGGUGGGAAUUGACGGCGAGACCGAGGAUGGAGGAAUUGGAGGGGAGAGUGAUGUCGGAGAUGAAAGUUUCGACUACGCCGUCGUCAGAGACGGCGGUGAUGAUGCGACGACGAAGGGAGCCGAUGAGUUAAUGUUGAGCGCGUGGGUCCCACGCG